Molecule: ribosomal RNA, 372 nt
Filed under: uncultured bacterium
Lineage: Bacteria
Description: bacterial SSU rRNA
Rfam family: Bacterial small subunit ribosomal RNA
Source: RNAcentral
UACGUAGGGUGCAAGCGUUAAUCGGAAUUACUGGGCGUAAAGCGUGCGCAGGCGGUUUUGUAAGACAGAGGUGAAAUCCCCGGGCUCAACCUGGGAACUGCCUUUGUGACUGCAAGGCUGGAGUGCGGCAGAGGGGGAUGGAAUUCCGCGUGUAGCAGUGAAAUGCGUAGAUAUGCGGAGGAACACCGAUGGCGAAGGCAAUCCCCUGGGCCUGCACUGACGCUCAUGCACGAAAGCGUGGGGAGCAAACAGGAUUAGAUACCCUGGUAGUCCACGCCCUAAACGAUGUCAACUGGUUGUUGGGUCUUGACUGACUCAGUAACGAAGCUAACGCGUGAAGUUGACCGCCUGGGGAGUACGGCCGCAAGGUUG